Molecule: non-coding RNA, 910 nt
Filed under: Leucoagaricus sp. SymC.cos
Lineage: Eukaryota; Fungi; Basidiomycota; Agaricomycetes; Agaricales; Agaricaceae
Description: Bacterial large subunit ribosomal RNA
Rfam family: Bacterial large subunit ribosomal RNA
Source: Rfam by way of RNAcentral
AUUAAUUUAUAGAUACUAGCGCCGAAAAUUUAACGGGUCUUAAACAUUCAACCGAUAUCGUGUUGGUUAACUUUAAUUUUUUCCGCGUUAAGCAGAACAACAAUUGAAGUUAAUUUAGGUAGUAGAACAUUCAGUCAAACUAAUGAUAAUACAGUGUUUCAUUGUAUUUUAGGUUACUGAAGAGAUAAUGCUGACAUGAGUAACGUAAAAAGAAGUUAUAAUACUUCUCGCCGAAUACGAAAGGGUUUCAAUUAAGAAAGGUUAAUCCACUUUGAUUUAAUGCGGCCUCUAAGGAUAAUAGCUAAAGCUAUGACUGAUGAGUAUAAAAUAGAAAGUCUUGUUCCCUUAUGGUUACUACCUUCCCUCUGCCUGCUGCAUUCUUUUGCUGCAGUAGUAUAAGAUACUAAGCAUGGUAGUAAUAAGAAUAGACCAGGAAAUUAAUAUUUUAUUACCUUCCUAUUUUUUAGGUUGGAUGGUAACUACCGUACCCUAAACCGACACAGGUUCGUAGGUAGAGUAUACUAAGGCGUAGAGCUAAAAGUUGUUAAGGAACUCGGCAAGAUCACCUCAUAAGUUUGACGAUAAGAGGUACCGCACAAAUUUUUUUCCCUGCUUGCAAUAAGGGGCAGUGCAAACAAAAUUAAAGCGGUGGCACAGAAUCGGAGGCCCCGACUGUUUACUAAAAACACAUCACAGUGCAAUCAUUAAUAUGAUAGUAUACUGUGUGAAAUUUGCCCGAUGCCAUUAAUAUAAGAACGGUCAUUAACAAAAAGUGACUUAUCGAAAAUCUGGUUAAUAGCGGUCUUAACUAUGAGGAUUUGAUUAAAAACCUAUAGGGUCCUCAAUAAACUCGAUGAUAUGCUGGAACAUCCUAAAGCUUUAAGUACUUUAACAAUUUAAAGUAAAAAUU